CAUUUGCACUCGCCGCCAAUCAGUGCCCCCACCACCUGCACUGAUAAAGAGCACACAGGUUACUCCCGGGUAAAGGUCUCUGACCUCGUGCAGUUUUGGUUUAGUCGCCCACGAUCAGUGGUUGUGAAAACACCACCCGGCCUCUGCUGUGCCAGCAGCAGGUUGGCCGCUUCCUCUCGUCAAUUGGAGGAUACGAACGUUCUGCGAGAAGAGUCAACGUGCUCUGUGGGGCCGUUGAUUUCGCAAUUGUCCGGCCCGGCAGAGCUGGUGUCCGCCAGCGUCGUUUGCAGAUGGAGCGCUGUCGCCAUGAAUUGCAGCGCUUCGUGCUCACGAGUGAGCACCACCUCCCCGGUCACCAACCACCCUAGUCAGCCGGCGUCUGGCCAAACAUCAGAUCGACCUUCGGAGCACCGACACCAUCAGGAGUCGCUCCCCUCACCGAGAUCAACUCGACACACAGCUCACAAUGAGUAUCUCUCUUUUGUGAUUUAAGUGAAUUCAAUCCGAACACUCGUCGAGUGAAAUUUUGAUUAUUUUUAUAUUUUUUUCCAAAUUGAUAUUUUUGCUACACAUUUACACUUUCUAUACACACAUUUAGCCCCACCUAUACUAACCACACACAGUUUAUACAAUUAAUUUGCAAAUACAAAUUUCUUAUUAUUUUUGCAUUGACUCGCUUUGCAAUUAAAACCCGUUGUUUGAAAAUUAACAUUAAAAAACAAUUUCUUUUCUUUUGCAAUUUUUUGUUCUUUAAUUUGAAAAUAUACCUUUUUGUGCAUCUUUUCUGAAUUUGUAAAAUCGCGGCAACUGCGCAAGACGACUGGCUACACUUUUCAGCAACUGAAAAAAGCCAAAUGCCUUUGGAUAAGAGCGGAAAAGUGUCUGCACGAGCAGGUGAAGUUCCUUGGAUAGUGAAUAGGCCAAAGCGACCAAACUGCAUGGAUAGCCAAACGACACGGUUCAGGGCUAUAUUAUUGAAAUUGCGUGUCCCAACCGUGAAAGUGCGUUUUACCAUAUGGAGGAGAUCUACUGCGAAUGGACUUAAUAGCCAGAAGCAGGACCUUCAGAAAGGCAACGAAGUCUACUAGCUAAUGCUGAUUGUUGCAUUUCCUGAUAAAAAAAGCCAAUUUCUGAAAAACAGAAUGGAUGAAAAAUCUAUGGACGAAAACACUUCCCAAGUGCUUGCUAAGUCCGUUACCUCCUCAUUUCCAGAUCUUACACGUGCAGCACAAGAUGAAGAAAUUGAAGGACCCGAAUUCGAGGCCAAGCGGAAGAAGCCUCUUGAGGCCCAAGUUGCCCCCUUUCUAGGACUCUAUAAUUCGGGCCAGUGGUGCUUCGCAAAUGUUGCGAUGCAAGUUCUUUUCAUGCAUCCACCUGUGCUUCAACUUCUCCAAACUAUGAACAUGGAGUUGAUUGAACUUGAUGAAGCAGAUAAGUUUGUUUUGACACUUCUUCAAGAAAUUUCAAAGCUCGUUGGAAAGAGCAUGGAAAGAAGUGCUGAAAGUCUCCUCCAAGACUUGGUUCAAUCCUUUCACUCUGCUCUCCACAUCUACUAUCAGUACGACAGUGACCGACAGCACGACAUGUGCGAAAUCUUGAUGCGCCUGAUGGCGCUGCUGAGUGCCUUCUGUGGAGAUGUUAGGACUGGCUGCUGUCCUGCAUUCCGUAAAACCUGCUUGAGUUGUGGGAGAAAAUUAGAGCAGAAAGUGAAUAGAGCGUUCAUUAGGAUAAUCCAAGCAAAAAACGGAGGCUCAGUUGACAAAAUUCUGGAGAAGUCGUUGUCAUAUGGAGAUGGAGAUGUGGGUCGUUGUUGUGACAACUCCAAAAUUAAAGAUCUGCUACUUUCUGACGCGCAUUUCAUCAAUUUACAAAUCAAUCGUGUGGAUGAUACUGGCAAGAAAACUGUCUACUCCGUGAAGCUUAGUAAGAUUUUAAAACUGGAAACAGAAAGCGAAAGACCCGAGUUAGGAAAAAAAAGCUUUUUAGAGUUUGAACUGGUAGGAACGUCUCUGCAUGUAGGUGAAAACUCAAAAGGUCAUUACUACUACCUGGCCUGGAGCGAUGCAGAUCAAAGCUGGUAUUCGAUCAGUGACGAGGAGGUGAAAAGGGUGACCCAACGCUCCCUAGAAAAGCUGGCUUGUGUGCAAGCAUGCCACGUUCUUUACCGGCGAAAGGGGAAUGUCUUUGAGGAGCGCAUCGUUGAUGAUACUGAAAAGGCUGAAAGUGAUAUGGAUGUCGCAAAACGACUGGAGUUUACAAAUUGCGCUUUAGGAGACAUGAAGAGCCUGCAAAAAAAUUUAGAUUUUAUUGAGAAGAAACUGCCGGCAGGCUUUGAUUUGAAGAUGAUUAUGAAAAAGUUCCCCUUUGAAUACGCGAACUCCUUGAACAUUUUAUUGAGACAGGAAAUUGUUCGUUAUGACAGGCUCCUCUUUACCAUUCAUGCUACCCUGAAGGACAUGAAAGUGAACAGCAACCAUGAAACUGAAGAAAUGAUGACUUGUCUUUUACUUGAUCAGAUUCCUCCACAGUGGUUGGCCGUCUCCUAUCCAACAACUAGCUCAUUUUCCUUAUACAUCGCAGACCUCCUGAAGAGGCUUGAAUUCUUUUCCGAAUGGAAAAAUUCAGGAGAGCCCAUGAUAUAUAGGCUGUCAGCCUUUUUUCCCCUCAGUCGUUCUUCGACAUAAUGAAGCAAAACUUUGCUAAAGCCCAUGAAGUAGCAGUGCGGGAAGUCAGUUUCGAGAUGAAAUUCCUUGAGUCUUAGUGUGAAGAAGUGAGCCAAGCGCCUGCGAUUGGCGCGUACUGUAGUGGCCUUGUCUUGCAUGGUGCUCACUUGAACCGAGAAACGGGGGUGUUGGUGGAGUGUCUGCCAGAUCAAACAUUUGAAGAGCUGCCGGUUGUUUGGAUUACUCCGAGUGUUAGGACAAGAGAGACCGAGAUGAGAGACCGAUACAUCUUGUGCAAUCUAUACCAUAAAAUCUCUCUGCACGUCAUCUGUCAGUGCACAAGCAAUGUGCCGAUGACUCAAAUCCAGAUUCAGUCCGAAAAUCCAAAACUCGGGAACAUUUCCAUGUCAUGCCAGCUGCCAGGAUGAGUAAGUUGGAUGAUAUUUAUUAAAUCUAUUGGACACUUAUGUGUUAAUUUUCUUAAAAUUCAAAUAGUUCAAUUUUCGGAAUCGGAACAGAUGAAAAUGACUAUAAUUAUAGUUGACUUUUAAUUUUUAUGACAAAAGUAUCAAGUAAUUUUUUCAGUAUUUUCGCUAUAUCAUGUUGCCCCUUUGUAAUCAUACUUUUUAGAUCUUUGUUUUUAUUAAUCUAAAGGAUAUUAAAAACAUGAUUGCUCAACCGUAUGAGUGUGGGGUAUUAUUUAAAAAUAUUUUUCCUAGUAAACAAUUCUUUAUUGUUUUUACCCUUUUUGAAUACAAAUGAAAUAGAAUGUUUGCUACCUCUGCUGGACACCUGUGUUUUGCAGGUUAUAGGAUGCCUGUAUCUUUUUAAUUUUUGGAUUAAAAAUGGCUUUGGGCUCCUGAAUAUAAAAGCUUAAUUAUUUUUAAGGCUGUUACUCUUAGAUCAAUUUUUAAGACUGACUCUUUGUGUAAUAUCUUACAUUUGAUAAUAAUAUUAGUUAUAAAGUUCUAUCUAUAUGCUUAACUCAACUUUUUAAUACUAAAAAUAAAAAAUAAAUAUGUUCCAAUUUAAUGAAUAGUUAUUCAUAUGUUAUUAUAAUCAGCCAGAUUAUUUUUUUCACUAUGUAGUCUUUUAUAUGUUUAACGCUGAAUUCUGUAGCAAAUAUGAUAGAUCAUUUCCAGUUCACAUGUGACGACUGCAGUCACACAAUUUAGCGGGAAUUAAUUAUUCUCCAAUUAUAAAAUUGAUGACGACUCGAGCUUCAGGUAUUUCCUGUUUUAGAUGCAACUGUACAAAUUUUUGUACUGUUCGUAAUUUUUGUGUUUUUGGUAUAAUUUUAUAACAGAGUGCACCUUAUUAUCAUUCUAAUCAUUC
Neocloeon triangulifer is the source of this 3998-nucleotide RNA transcript. It is a transcript of the gene named elongation factor Ts, mitochondrial, with no coding region annotated. The record is from RefSeq and is a predicted model, not a curated record. The transcript is spliced from 12 exons. Lineage: Eukaryota; Metazoa; Arthropoda; Insecta; Ephemeroptera; Baetidae.